AAUAGAUACCCGGGUAGUCCACGCCGUAAACGAUGUCGACUUGGAGGUUGUUCCCUUGAGGAGUGGCUUCCGGAGCUAACGCGUUAAGUCGACCGCCUGGGGAGUACGGCCGCAAGGUUAAAACUCAAAUGAAUUGACGGGGGCCCGCACAAGCGGUGGAGCAUGUGGUUUAAUUCGAUGCAACGCGAAGAACCUUACCUACUCUUGACAUCCAGAGAACUUUCCAGAGAUGGAUUGGUGCCUUCGGGAACUCUGAGACAGGUGCUGCAUGGCUGUCGUCAGCUCGUGUUGUGAAAUGUUGGGUUAAGUCCCGCAACGAGCGCAACCCUUAUCCUUUGUUGCCAGCGGUUCGGCCGGGAACUCAAAGGAGACUGCCAGUGAUAAACUGGAGGAAGUGGGGAUGACGUCAAGUCAUCAUGGCCCUUACGAGUAGGGCUACACACGUGCUACAAUGGCGUAUACAAAGAGAAGCGACCUCGCGAGAGCAAGCGGACCUCAUAAAGUACGUCGUAGUCCGGAUUGGAGUCUGCAACUCGACUCC
This 541-nucleotide ribosomal RNA is filed under the name uncultured bacterium. Its description in RNAcentral is "bacterial SSU rRNA". It matches the Rfam family "Bacterial small subunit ribosomal RNA", at positions 777 to 1319 of the family's 1533-position model. The record is from RNAcentral.